GCCUGCCCAGUGACUCUGUUCAACGGCCGCGGUAUCCUAACCGUGCGAAGGUAGCGUAAUCACUUGUUCUUUAAUUGUGGACUAGUAUGAAUGGCACCACGAGGGCUAUACUGUCUCCUUUUUCCAAUCAGUGAAACUAAUCUCCCCGUGAAGAAGCGGGAAUAAUCUUAUAAGACGAGAAGACCCUAUGGAGCUUCAAACAAUAUAGCAAUUAUUAUACAUACUCAUUUCCCAGAACACAAAUAUUAAAAUUUUAUGACUAUAAGCUUUUGGUUGGGGUGACCGCGGAGCAUAAUAUAACCUCCAUGCUGAAAGAAAUAUUCUAAGCUAAGAAUUACCUCUCAAAGCAUCAACAUAUUGACACCCAUUGACCCAAUACAUUUGAUCAACGAACCAAGUUACCCUAGGGAUAACAGCGCA
Molecule: ribosomal RNA, 420 nt
Filed under: Mertensophryne micranotis (Loveridge's snouted toad)
Lineage: Eukaryota; Metazoa; Chordata; Amphibia; Anura; Bufonidae
Description: partial 16S ribosomal RNA
Rfam family: Bacterial large subunit ribosomal RNA
Source: RNAcentral